Salmo salar (Atlantic salmon) is the source of this 72-nucleotide non-coding RNA. The record is from Rfam. Lineage: Eukaryota; Metazoa; Chordata; Actinopteri; Salmoniformes; Salmonidae.
CUCCCUGUAGCUCAGUUGGUAGAGCAUGGUGUUUGCAACGCCAGGGUUGUGGGUUUGAUUCCCACGGGGGGC